UAAGGAAUAUUGGACAAUGGAGGCAACUCUGAUCCAGCCAUGCCGCGUGAAGGAAUAAGGCCCUAUGGGUUGUAAACUUCUUUUAGACGGGACAAAACCCCUUUACGUGUAAAGGGUUGAUGGUACUGUCAGAAUAAGCAUCGGCUAACUUCGUGCCAGCAGCCGCGGUAAUACGAAGGAUGCAAGCGUUAUCCGGAAUUAUUGGGUUUAAAGGGUGCGUAGGCGGACUAAUAAGUCAGUGGUGAAAGCCUGCAGCUUAACUGCAGAAUUGCCAUUGAUACUGUUAGUCUUGAGUACAGUUGCGGUAGGCGGAAUGUGUCAUGUAGCGGUGAAAUGCUUAGAUAUGACACAGAACACCGAUUGCGAAGGCAGCUUGCUAAGCCGUAACUGACGCUGAGGCACGAAAGCGUGGGGAGCAAACA
This 422-nucleotide ribosomal RNA is filed under the name uncultured bacterium. Its description in RNAcentral is "bacterial SSU rRNA". It matches the Rfam family "Bacterial small subunit ribosomal RNA", at positions 355 to 774 of the family's 1533-position model. The record is from RNAcentral.